GCCCCCGUAGUUUAACGGACAAAAUGCAAGGUUGCGGACCUUGAGACUGGAGGUUCGACUCCUCCCGGGGGCACCC
Molecule: transfer RNA, 76 nt
Filed under: Candidatus Wildermuthbacteria bacterium GWA2_46_15
Lineage: Bacteria; Candidatus Wildermuthiibacteriota
Description: tRNA-Arg
Rfam family: tRNA
About the family: Transfer RNA (tRNA) molecules are approximately 80 nucleotides in length. Their secondary structure includes four short double-helical elements and three loops (D, anti-codon, and T loops). Further hydrogen bonds mediate the characteristic L-shaped molecular structure. tRNAs have two regions of fundamental functional importance: the anti-codon, which is responsible for specific mRNA codon recognition, and the 3' end, to which the tRNAs corresponding amino acid is attached (by aminoacyl-tRNA synthetases). tRNAs cope with the degeneracy of the genetic code in two manners: having more than one tRNA (with a specific anti-codon) for a particular amino acid; and 'wobble' base-pairing, i.e. permitting non-standard base-pairing at the 3rd anti-codon position.
Source: RNAcentral